CACCUCAGAGCCUACCCUAUUUAUUCCCAGCAUGGACCUAAAUCCACUUCAGCCAAAAAUGAACAAAGAAAUGAUGAAGAACAGAGCCUGUUUCUUUCUCAGUGGUGUACUCAGCCAACUCAGCCUGGUUAAGAACACCUGUUGAAGAACUAGUGCAGGCGUUUGGAGGACAUAGGACACUCUGGCCAUGGCAUGAGAUCAAGACUGAGUGUAAAGCAGAGGUGGCUUGCUGUUCUGAUGAUCAAGGCUGUGCUUCACGACUUGUGUGGAGCUAAUGAGGUGGUUUAAACGAGCUACUUCAACAGAAUCAUCAUAUUUAAUUAAUUUAUUUUAUUUUAAUUCAUUAAUUGUAAUGAAUUCUUUUCACUAUUGCUUGAGAGAGAAUGACAUAAAACAAUUGUUUUUUUAAAAAUUAUUAUUAUACUUUAAGUUUUAGGGUACAUGUGCACAACGUGCAGGUUUGUUACAUAUGUAUGCAUGUGCCAUGUUGGUGUGCUGCACCCAUUAACUCGUCAUUUAGCAUUAGGUAUAUCUCCUAAUGCUAUCCCUCCCCUCUCCCCCGACCCCACAACAGUCCCCGGUGUGUGAUGUUCCCCAAUGUCAAGUGUAUGUUGCAGCAGAGCAGUAUUGGAACUGUUCUCAUCAUAAAUUCAAAUGUACCCAUCAGCCACAGCUCUCUCAGCCACAGACAGUUAUUGGGUAUCUCUCAAUCCCCUACUUGUCCCCUCCAAUGAUGCAUUUAUUAAUUUGCACCACUUGCAUCACUUGCUCUGUACAGCAGUCAUUUGAGGUAGGUAUUGCUGCCCAUGUUCAAUUGCUUAGAAUGCAUCACAUAAUUUAUUCUCUAUAAUAAUACUAAGUAGGUAUUUAAAAAAUCCUUGUUAACAUGAGAAAUUUGAAGCUCACAGAAGUUAAAUAGUGGGAUUAGUUAUCGGAUCCAGAUCUUUUAUGACUCCAGCAUUCCUAAUCACCAUUAUAUAUUACAUGUUAUAUCAUGCUAUACAUAUUAACAUUAUGGUAUGUCUCCCCAUUUCCUAGGAAUGUUUUUUCCAUUCAAAUAACUUACAUUACCACUCCUUUGUUUGCCUAUAACAACAAUAUGACUAUUUUUCCCUUUUUUACAAUGUCUACUAGGAAGCUUAGAUCCAAAUAUGAGGCUUAAUUGUAGUAAUGUUGAUGAAUUGCAUGUUUAAUCUUUCUUAGUCUUGGUAUCUUACUCACUUAUUUGUAUUUUGCCCAGGCUUGAUUUUUAAUUCUAUCCUUGAAUUUUCAUUUUAUCAUUUGUUUUAAUGCCUCCUUCAAGUCACACAGUCAGAUCCUUUGUGGAAGACGAUGAAUGGGUGAAUAAGUAUUUAAAGCAUGUGUUCAUAGCGUCAUCAAUUUUACAACAGGGUGGAUUAAACAUACGAUAAUUAUGAAUUAAAAGUGACCUAUGCUUCUGGUUGUUUCCACAAGUCAUCAAGUCCCCAAAAAUCAAGUGAUAAAUAUAUAUUUUUUGAGAGUCAAUAUUGUGAAUUAUUAUCUGGAAUAAACAUCUUUAAGAGUGUGCUAAGUUUAACAUGUCAUUCAAUAACUGUUUGCUGGCUAGUUAAACAUUCUGAAUUAAGAACUAUAAAUUCAGGCAUAUCUCAUUUUAUUGUGUUUUAUGUUACUGCACUUUGCAGAUAUUGCAUAUUUAAAAAAAUUGAAUGUCUGUGGCAACCCUGUGUCAAAAAUGCCUAUUGCCAUCAUUUUUGUCAAUAGCACUGCUCAGUUCAUGACUCUGUAUCUCAUUUUGGUAUUUCUCACAAUAUUUCAAACUUUCUCAUUAUUAUUAUAUCUUAUGGUGAUCUCUGAUCAAUGAUCUUUGAUGUUAUUAUUGUAAACGUUCUGUGGUGCCACAAAGAGUGCCCUAAAAUUAGUUGUGUCUAAAAUUAGACCAAUUAAUAACCCUAUGAUGGCUUCUAACUGUUUAGGUGAAGAGUUAUUUUCUCUCACUUUAAAUCAAAAGCUAGAGGUGAUUAAGCUUGGUGACGAAGAUAUGUUGAAAGCUGAGCUAGUCUAGAAGUUAGGCCUCUUGUGCCAAAC
This 2067-nucleotide long non-coding RNA is filed under the name Homo sapiens (human). RNAcentral's name for it is "HSALNT0293305". The record is from RNAcentral. Lineage: Eukaryota; Metazoa; Chordata; Mammalia; Primates; Hominidae.